UACGGAGGGUGCAAGCGUUGUCCGGAUUUAUUGGGCGUAAAGAGCUUGUAGGCGGCUUGUCGCGUCUGCUGUGAAAUCCCGGGGCUCAACCUCGGGCUUGCAGUGGGUACGGGCAGGCUAGAGUAUGGUAGGGGAGACUGGAAUUCCUGGUGUAGCGGUGGAAUGCGCAGAUAUCAGGAGGAACACCGAUGGCGAAGGCAGGUCUCUGGGCCAUCACUGACGCUGAGAAGCGAAAGCGUGGGGAGCGAACAGG
RNAcentral lists this ribosomal RNA (253 nucleotides) under uncultured bacterium. Its description in RNAcentral is "partial 16S ribosomal RNA". It matches the Rfam family "Bacterial small subunit ribosomal RNA", at positions 524 to 776 of the family's 1533-position model. The record is from RNAcentral.